GUUAUACAAUAAAUAAAAUUUAAUUUUUUUGGUUAAAUUGAAGUUAAGUAUUUUAUGAAAUUAAAAUUUUAAUUUUAAGGUGAAAUUUAAAUUUGAAUUAAUUUUUAUACGUUUCUUUUAAAUAUAAAUUUUAAACUAGGAUUAGAUACCCUAUUAUUUUAUAUGUAAAAUUUUACCUGGGUAGUAAUAGUUAUAUUCUUUAAACUUAAAGAAUUUGGCGGUAAUUUAGUCUAUUCAGAGGAAUUUGUCCCGUAAUCGAUAAUCCCCGUUAUAUCUUUCUUAUUUUUGUAAUUUCAGUAUGUAUACCGCCGUUAUAAGUUUAUUUUAUUAGAAUAUAAUUUACUUAAAAUAUUAUUUUAUUUUAUUUCAGG
RNAcentral lists this ribosomal RNA (371 nucleotides) under Clonaria conformans. RNAcentral's name for it is "partial small subunit ribosomal RNA". The record is from RNAcentral. Lineage: Eukaryota; Metazoa; Arthropoda; Insecta; Phasmatodea; Diapheromeridae.